Molecule: ribosomal RNA, 195 nt
Filed under: uncultured bacterium
Lineage: Bacteria
Description: partial 16S ribosomal RNA
Rfam family: Bacterial small subunit ribosomal RNA
Source: RNAcentral
CUGAAAUUCGCCUUCAUGAAGUCGGAAUUGCUAGUAAUGGCAGGUCAGCAUACUGCCGUGAAUACGUUCCCGGGCCUUGUACACACCGCCCGUCACACCAUGAGAGUUGGAGAUACCCAAAGCCUAUGAGCUAACUUUUAGAGGCAGUAGUCGAAGGUAGAAUCAAUGAUUGGGGUGAAGUCGUAACAAGGUACC